ACGAACGAAUCGCCGUUGUUUCGUUUCGAGUUGGUGAACAUGGCGACGGUUGUUACGGACGACGUUUAUCAUUAAUUUGUUUAUCAUUAUCUUUUAACGUUAAAGCUAUUAAUUUUCAACGUCUACCUCAGCACCUUUUUGAAUAAAACAGCAUUAAAAGGAUAGGUUAUAAACUCGUGUUUUCGCGAAGAAAUCUUCGACGCCUAAUUCCUUUAGUGGUCGAUCUCUUCUGUUUCUCUAAGUUUUAUUGAUAAGAUUUUUUUGUAAUUAUAUCAUGGCAGCGGCUGCAGCUGCUGCUUUGCUCGACGAGUUGAUGGGCAGGAACCGAAAUAUCCUGCCCAACGAGAAACCCAAGGAACUUAACUGGGAAGAUCCCGAGUUUUGCAAAUUGUUCUUGGUCAAGUUUUGUCCACACGAUUUAUUUGUAAAUACAAGAGCAGAUUUAGGAGCAUGUCUCAAAGUACAUGAUGAGGAAGCAAGAGAUCUUUUCGAGAAAGCUCCUUAUACUUACCGUAAGCAACAGUAUGAAGAUGAGUUUAUUAGAUUUUGUCAAAGCAUGCUUGGAGAAGUGGAAAGAAAAAUUGUGAAAGGAAAACAGCGCUUAGCUCUUAUUGGCAAAACUGAAGCUCCAACUCUUUCACCUGCACAAACUCAAAAAAAUGAAGAACAAAUUACUCUACUGUCAGAAAAAAUCAAUAAACUUGUAGAAGAAGCUGAACAGAGCGGUAUUCAAGGCAACGUAGAACAAGCACAAGGGCUAAUGCGCCUUUGUGAUCAAUUAAAGGAAGAACGAGAGGCUCUACGUAAAUCAAAUGAUAACAGCCAUUACAAUCAGACUGCUGAAUUAGCAGCUGCUCAAGAAAAACAAAUGGAGGUUUGUGAUGUUUGUGGAGCAUUUCUAAUUGUUGGUGAUGCUCAGCAAAGAAUAGAUGAUCACUUAAUGGGAAAACAACAUGUUGGUUAUGCUAGAUUGAAAAAUGCAUUACAAGAAAUUUUGGACAAGCGAGAAAAAGUUAGAAAUGAAAAAGAAGCUAAACGCGAAGAAGAAAGAAAACGGACGAGAGACGACGAUAGACGGAGACGAGAUGACAGAGACAGAUAUCGUGAUCGAGAACGAGGAGACAGAAGAGAUCGAGACCACGAAAGGGAUAGGGACAAACGUCGACGAUACGACGACGAUAAAAAACACGAGGGUUUACACAAGAAUUCUAAACACCGAAGUAGAAGUAGAUCUAAAGAUAGACAUGACCGGCAUCGAGAUGAUGACAAAGAACGUCGUCACAAAGACAGAGGUAAUCAUGACCAUCGAUCGAACCAUCACCGUAGACGACACCGAUCUCGAAGUAGAAGUCACAAGUAACUACUCUUGAUUGGUUAGUGAGCAGAAAGUCAGGUAUGCACUAUACAAUUUACUAUUAACGUCUCAAUUUUUGUACAGAUUGUUUUGUCAGGUAAGUUCCACUAGUUGCACCUUUAAACGUCAGUUAUGCUUGUGACCUUUGAAAUUCUGUUUGAACAAUCACAAUUUCACCUGACAAUAAUCCGUGACGCGCUUUAAAUUCGGUUACUUAUCUAUUAUUGGAAACAUGUUGGCUUGUCAAUUAAAACAUUUCACAAAACUCGUUUGCCAAGUUUUAAAACUGCAAUUCAAUCAAACAAACAAAAAAAGAAUAGGUUAAAAUGACUAUUUGUAGAUAUUGAGACGUUAAACAAUAUCUUAGAAUAUGAAAAUCUGCAGAGCAAGUUAGGAGAAGGUAUACCUACACUUGCUUUGGGUCGACGAUAAUGUAUCUUUAGGUUGUACACAAUUAUUUUAAAAACUCCAAGGACAGCGUAGAGUUAUUUUAUUCAAAAAAUUAAGCGAUUUAAUGGAGGAAACAGAGCCUACUUCCAUAAACCUGCCUCGACACUGCCGUGUGUGACUGACUAUACAAACCUAGCUUCUGCCACGCAUUUCAGAGGUAUUUAUGGUGGAAUGAUGAUACCAGAACCUGGCCUCUUUUUUAUUAAAAAUGUUUUAGAUAUGUCAAUGAAGGUGCACUGUUCCAUAAAGCAGAUUUUUAUUGCAUUCUACUAUAUUGCAUCCACUUUUUCCUCGUGGUACUGUUUUCAAAAACGUGUUGAAUUUUUUAUGCAAACAGUUUAUCAUUGAAUUGUACAUAAAAUAUUCAAAAUAGAUGAUAAAAUUAAUCUUUUCCUUUGAUUAACAACAAUUUUUUUAUUCUAAAAUUAUAGCUUUUAUAACGUGUAUAUUUUAUUGUUUGCUAUUGCAUUGCUUACAUUAAAUAACUAUGAAAUUGCUGCUCUGCCUUCACGUUUAACCAUUUACCGAAUAAGGUGAUUUUAAGGAAACGUAAAAACGUUAAUUAUAUACUUUUUGAAAAAAUAUAUAUCCGUGGGAUAUUGUAUUUAAUAUUUAUUUUAAUGUUCUCGUCAAUCAUAAUUUUAUUUUUAAAUGAUAUUUUUUUAUUUGUAUUAUUAGCAGUCUUUUAUAAAUUUUAAAGCAAUUACUUUGUAAAGUUUCAUAUUCAAUUGGACUUACAUAAUUUACAAAAGUGCACACAUGUACAAAAGUUUAUUUAACAAUAUACACUCUAGGUAUUCAGUUUGGAAGACGUAUGCAUUUCUAAAUACGUCUUGAAUCAAUUUAAUUUUGUAAGCCAGACUCCAUAGCUGGGAAACCGAUUUCGAAAUUUCGAACAUUGCAGAAAUCCCGUUAUAUAUAGGAAGACUGCGCUCGGAUGUUGUGAGAAGUGUACAAGUACGCGAGGACACUCGAGAACGGCUUAAUGUAUCAUUUAAGGUAAAAAAAGAUUUUCCAUACGUGUUUGAAAGAUUUUGAAAAUGUGUUUUCAACGAUGUCGCCAAUGGUCAAGUGGAAUUUGAAAAUUUCGUCUUUCUUAAUUUAUUCUUAAUUAAAAAGGAAAUAAGAAAUAAUUUCCUGUUCAUCAAGUCAUUUUCAUUGUACGUAGUAAAUACUUGUACAUUGAGUAAAUCAUUUCUAAAAAUAGUUUAUUUGGAAAUUUCUUUGUUAUUCAAAUAUUCCUUAUGCUCUUGACUACUAUGAACAGUUCUUUUUUAAAUUGUAAUAAUUAGUUGUGUUAAUAUUUGACAAAUAGUGUUCUAAAAUACAUUUUAUCGUUUGGAAUGUAAUAACUUUCAAUAAUUAUUCAAUGAAUUGGAUUACGUAAAAUAAUCAACAACUUCUCUGUAACUAAAAAUAAAG
This is an RNA transcript of Phymastichus coffea, 3226 nucleotides long. It is a transcript of the gene named luc7-like protein 3, with no coding region annotated. The transcript has 8 exons. The record is from RefSeq and is a predicted model, not a curated record. Lineage: Eukaryota; Metazoa; Arthropoda; Insecta; Hymenoptera; Eulophidae.